UGAGGAAUUUUCUGCAAUAGGCGAAAGCCUGACAGAGCAAUACCGCGUGAGGGAUGAAGGCCUACGGGUUGUAAACCUCUUUUCUCAAGGAGGAAGUACUGACGUUACUUGAGGAAUAAGCAUCGGCUAACCCUGUGCCAGCAGCCGCGGUAAUACAGGGGAUGCAAGUGUUAUCCGGAAUCAUUGGGCGUAAAGCGUCUGCAGGUUGAUCUUUAAGUCUUUUGUUAAACCUCCAGGCUUAACCUGGAAUCUGCAAAAGAAACUAUUUAUCUAGAGUAUGGUAGAGGUAAAGGGAAUUUCCAGUGGAGCGGUGAAAUGCGUAGAUAUUGGAAAGAACACCAACAGCGAAGGCACUUUACUGGGCCAUUACUGACACUCAGAGACG
Molecule: ribosomal RNA, 385 nt
Filed under: uncultured bacterium
Lineage: Bacteria
Description: bacterial SSU rRNA
Rfam family: Bacterial small subunit ribosomal RNA
Source: RNAcentral